CACCAGCGCCACUAGUGGGGACCGCUAUUAUUGGGCCUAAAGCGUCCGUAGCCGGAUAGGUAAAUCUCUUGUGAAAUUGUUAGGCUUAACCUAACAGCGUGCAGGAGGCACUGCCAAUCUAGAGACCGGGAGGAGUCAGAGGUAUUCGCGGGGUAGCGGUAAAAUGCGAUAAUCCCGUGAGGACCACCUGUGGCGGAGGCGUCUGACUAGAACGGGUCUGACGGUGAGGGACGAAAGCUGGGGGAGCGAUCCGG
This 254-nucleotide ribosomal RNA is filed under the name uncultured archaeon. RNAcentral describes it as "partial 16S ribosomal RNA". It matches the Rfam family "Archaeal small subunit ribosomal RNA", at positions 474 to 727 of the family's 1478-position model. The record is from RNAcentral.